Molecule: ribosomal RNA, 254 nt
Filed under: uncultured bacterium
Lineage: Bacteria
Description: partial 16S ribosomal RNA
Rfam family: Bacterial small subunit ribosomal RNA
Source: RNAcentral
UACAGGGGCGGCAAGCGUUGUUCGGAAUUAUUGGGCGUAAAGAGCACGUAGGCGGCUUUGUAAGUCAGUUGUGAAAGCCUUCUGCUUAACGGAAGAACAGCAUCUGAUACUGCAAGGCUGGAGUAUGGAAGGGGAGAGUGGAACUUCUGGUGGAGCGGUGAAAUGCGUAGAUAUCAGAAGGAACACCGGCGGCGAAGGCGACUCUCUGGUCCGUAACUGACGCUGAGUGUGCGAAAGCUAGGGGAGCAAACGGG